CUUGGUCAGAGGAAGUAAAAGUCGUAACAAGGUUUCCGUAGGUGAACCUGCGGAAGGAUCAUUAACACGUAUCCAACGUAUCAACCAUUACUACGAACUGGGCUCCCUGGGAUCAGACUCGAAGCUGAGAAUGACAUGCUAUAGUGGAUUUGCAUUCAUUCUCUGUAGUCAUCCUUUGAGAUGACAAGCUUAGGACUUGAUCUUCAGGCUAUUUUCGCUAACCUCAUAGCUAUACCACUAUGAGCUUGGUUAGUGAAUCCCAUACCAAUAUUCACCCUAUUUUACACAUUUGACUAAUAUCAGUCGAACGAGAGAAAUCUCGAUCGCACUAAGUUAUUCUAACUAAGCACAACUCUUAGCAAUGGAUAUCUUGGUUCUC
Molecule: unclassified non-coding RNA, 379 nt
Filed under: fungal sp.
Lineage: Eukaryota; Fungi
Description: partial internal transcribed spacer region
Rfam family: Eukaryotic small subunit ribosomal RNA (bases 1-64)
Source: RNAcentral